CCCUAGUAGUGUAGUGGCUUGAGCAUUGGACUAGGACUCUGGAGACUAGGGUUCGAAUCUCAGCAUGGGGG
Non-coding RNA from Phrynosoma platyrhinos (Desert horned lizard), 71 nucleotides. The record is from the annotation of a GenBank genome assembly. Lineage: Eukaryota; Metazoa; Chordata; Lepidosauria; Squamata; Phrynosomatidae.